Molecule: ribosomal RNA, 520 nt
Filed under: uncultured Glomus
Lineage: Eukaryota; Fungi; Glomeromycota; Glomeromycetes; Glomerales; Glomeraceae
Description: SSU rRNA
Rfam family: Eukaryotic small subunit ribosomal RNA
Source: RNAcentral
AGCAGCCGCGGUAAUUCCAGCUCCAAUAGCGUAUAUUAAAGUUGCUGCAGUUAAAAAGCUCGUAGUUGAAUUUCGGGAUCAAUACGUCGGUCGUGCCUCGGUACGUACUGGUUUAUUGGUUUCUCCUUUCUGGAGAACCAUGAUGUCAUUUAUUUGGUGUCGGUGGGGAAUCAGGACUGUUACUUUAGAAAAAAUUAGAGUAGUUUAAAGCAGGCUCACGCUUGAAUACAUUAGCAUGGAAUAAUGAAAUAGGACGUUUGAUUCUAUUUUGUUGGUUUCUAGGAUCGACGUAAUGAUUAAUAGGGAUAGUUGGGGGCAUUAGUAUUCAAUUGUCAGAGGUGAAAUUCUUGGAUUUAUUGAAGACUAACUACUGCGAAAGCAUUUGCCAAGGAUGUUUUCAUUAAUCAAGAACGAAAGUUAGGGGAUCGAAGACGAUCAGAUACCGUCGUAGUCUUAACCAUAAACUAUGCCGACUAGGGAUCGGAUGAUGUUAAUUUUUUAAUGACUCAUUCGGCGCCUU